Molecule: ribosomal RNA, 1164 nt
Filed under: Staphylococcus aureus
Lineage: Bacteria; Bacillati; Bacillota; Bacilli; Caryophanales; Staphylococcaceae
Description: partial 23S ribosomal RNA
Rfam family: Bacterial large subunit ribosomal RNA
Source: RNAcentral
GAAAGAUGAAUCAAAGAAGGUAAUAAUCCUGUAGUCGAAAAUGUUGUCUCUCUUGAGUGGAUCCUGAGUACGACGGAGCACGUGAAAUUCCGUCGGAAUCUGGGAGGACCAUCUCCUAAGGCUAAAUACUCUCUAGUGACCGAUAGUGAACCAGUACCGUGAGGGAAAGGUGAAAAGCACCCCGGAAGGGGAGUGAAAUAGAACCUGAAACCGUGUGCUUACAAGUAGUCAGAGCCCGUUAAUGGGUGAUGGCGUGCCUUUUGUAGAAUGAACCGGCGAGUUACGAUUUGAUGCAAGGUUAAGCAGUAAAUGUGGAGCCGUAGCGAAAGCGAGUCUGAAUAGGGCGUUUAGUAUUUGGUCGUAGACCCGAAACCAGGUGAUCUACCCUUGGUCAGGUUGAAGUUCAGGUAACACUGAAUGGAGGACCGAACCGACUUACGUUGAAAAGUGAGCGGAUGAACUGAGGGUAGCGGAGAAAUUCCAAUCGAACCUGGAGAUAGCUGGUUCUCUCCGAAAUAGCUUUAGGGCUAGCCUCAAGUGAUGAUUAUUGGAGGUAGAGCACUGUUUGGACGAGGGGCCCCUCUCGGGUUACCGAAUUCAGACAAACUCCGAAUGCCAAUUAAUUUAACUUGGGAGUCAGAACAUGGGUGAUAAGGUCCGUGUUCGAAAGGGAAACAGCCCAGACCACCAGCUAAGGUCCCAAAAUAUAUGUUAAGUGGAAAAGGAUGUGGCGUUGCCCAGACAACUAGGAUGUUGGCUUAGAAGCAGCCAUCAUUUAAAGAGUGCGUAAUAGCUCACUAGUCGAGUGACACUGCGCCGAAAAUGUACCGGGGCUAAACAUAUUACCGAAGCUGUGGAUUGUCCUUUGGACAAUGGUAGGAGAGCGUUCUAAGGGCGUUGAAGCAUGAUCGUAAGGACAUGUGGAGCGCUUAGAAGUGAGAAUGCCGGUGUGAGUAGCGAAAGACGGGUGAGAAUCCCGUCCACCGAUUGACUAAGGUUUCCAGAGGAAGGCUCGUCCGCUCUGGGUUAGUCGGGUCCUAAGCUGAGGCCGACAGGCGUAGGCGAUGGAUAACAGGUUGAUAUUCCUGUACCACCUAUAAUCGUUUUAAUCGAUGGGGGGACGCAGUAGGAUAGGCGAAGCGUGCGAUUGGAUUGCACGUCUAA